GUGGAUAGCCAGGCGGUCGCUCCGAUACACAAUCGGAGAGGAAAGUCCGAACACCCUGGUUGUCAAUUGACAAUCUGUCGCGGUAGUGGGUAACGCCCACCCGGGCCGCAGCGAUGCGGCUUGAGGACCAGUUCCACAGAGACUAUACUAACCCCGAAGGGGUUAUCCCGAGCGACGCCCGCAAGGGCGGAGUCGAGGGAUCUCCCAUUCAGGGCAAAACGUGAAAAGUGUGGCGAGGUCAUUGGCUACAAGUGGGAAUUCCCGGUAGCUGACGGCUACGCUACUCCGCGCCCAGCGAUGGGACGCGCGUGGUAAACUCUACCUGGUGCAAUGCCAAGUUUGGUCGGCAGCUUGAGGCCGCCAGUAAUGACGGUCCCAGAGAGAUGAUCGCCACCCGCCUUCGGCGGGGACAGAAUUCGGCUUACCGGCUAUCCGCAGCA
Molecule: RNase P RNA, 440 nt
Filed under: bacterium
Lineage: Bacteria
Description: RNase P RNA component class A
Rfam family: Bacterial RNase P class A
About the family: Ribonuclease P (RNase P) is a ubiquitous endoribonuclease, found in archaea, bacteria and eukarya as well as chloroplasts and mitochondria. Its best characterised activity is the generation of mature 5'-ends of tRNAs by cleaving the 5'-leader elements of precursor-tRNAs. Cellular RNase Ps are ribonucleoproteins.
Source: RNAcentral